GCCUUGCACAGCGCCCGGCGCGAGGAGGCGGCCGGAGUGACGGAGCGCGGAGCGGGGCACCCCGCGCCCCUCGUCCCCAUGCGGCCGCGGGCGGAGGGAGGCUGCCGCCGCGGGAGCUGCGCGCCCGGGCCGCCCGGACAGCGGCGGGGAGCCGCCGUCACCCGCCCCCGGAGGGACGGGCUCAGCUCCCGUCGGCGCUGAGGACCACGCGCCUCGCGGGGACGGACGACUUGCGGCGCGGCAAAGGAGGGAGUAGCGGCACUAUUCUCCAGAGCCGCCUCGCCUGGCUUAUGCUUAUCGGGAGACCUCAGGAACGGCGGCGGCUUCUGCAACAUGACGGGCGAUGACGAGCCCUAAGGCGGCGUCGAGGCGUGCCGCCGCGGGCUGCGAUGAGCCUCGGCGAGCCGCUGCCGGAGGGCCCGCGGGCAGCCCGCUAGCUGCCGGCCCGCCGCUCCGCUCCGCGCCGCCGGCCGUCCGCAGCGCCCCGGGGGCAUGGGAGAGGCGGGCGGCGCCCGCUGAGAGCGCCGCGCUGAGCCGCAGGAGGAGCGAGGCAAGGCGAGCCGACAAGAUGCGGGAGAGGGCCGCGGUGGGGGUACUCUCCGUGGUGCUGAUCCUGGCGCUGGGGCUCCCGCCGGGCGCUGUGGCCUGCCCCCACCCCUGUGCCUGCUACGUCCCCACCGAAGUCCACUGCACGUUUCGAUCCUUAGCAGCCGUGCCGGCAAGGAUUUCUAAACAUGUGGAAAGAAUCAAUUUUGGGUUUAACAGUAUACAGUCUAUAUAUGAAAACUCCUUUGCAGGACUCAAUAAACUGGAAUUGCUUAUGAUACAUGGAAAUGACAUUCAGAAUAUACCUAAUGGUGCUCUGAAAGAUCUCGUAUCUCUACAGGUUUUCAAAAUUAGUUACAAUAAAUUGAAAGUUAUAACUGGCCAAACCCUCCAUGGACUUUCAAGCUUAAUGAGGCUGCAUGUGGACCACAACAGAAUCGAGUUUAUUCAUCCAGAUGCUUUUAAUGGAUUAACUUCUCUGAGAUUGGUCCACUUAGAAGGAAAUUUGCUCCAGCAGCUUCAUCCACACACCUUUUCAACAUUUAUGGUCCUUAAUUAUUUUAAACUGUCAACAGUAAGACAUCUCUACCUAUCUGAAAAUGCUAUUAGCACGUUGCCUGCAGGAAUCUUUCAAGGUAUGCCACUGCUGGAGAAUCUUUACCUUCAUGGGAAUCCGUGGGCCUGUGACUGCAGCUUAACGUGGCUCCUUGAUUGGAUUGAAAAUUCAGGAGGUGUUCUAAAAUGCAAAAAGGACAAAGCUUAUGAAGGGGGACAGCUCUGUCCUAAGUGUAGCAGCCCAAAACAGCUGCAAAAAGAAGAUAUCCAGAACUUGAAAGAUAUUUCCUGUAGGAAACCUAUCAUUCAGUCCUCACUGAGGCACAAUAGCAGCACUCAAGAUGAAGAAGAUGGUGAGAGUUAUGAACUCCCUCUGGAAGUCCUUCAGUCUUCUCCAUGGAACAUUACACUGAAUAUGACUGAUGAGCAUGGCAAUGUAGUCCAUUUGAACUGUGAAAUCAAGAAACCAACAGGCUCUACCAAGAUUCAAUGGAAUCAAAUCCAGACUCAGGAGAUUGAUAUAAAUGCUACAAUAUCACUGGAUUUUGAAUGCCCAAUGAAUCGAGAGAACUAUGAAAAAUUGUGGAAGCUGAUUGCUUAUUAUAGUGAAGUGCCUGUCAAAUUAGAAAGGGAACUUAUGCUCAGUAAAGAGCCUAAAAUAAGUUAUCGGUACAAGCAAGGUUCAGACUACGAUGCUCUUUAUUACACAGGUGUAAAAGCUCAAAUACUGGCUGAGCCUUCCUGGGUGAUGCAACCUCUUAUAAAUAUCCAAUUAAACAGGCGCCAGAGUACAGGGAAAAAAGUGGUGCUAUCUUUUUUUACUGUGUUUUCUCAGGCUAUUCAUACCAAAGACACCAGACAGCAGAGAAGCUGGGUAAUGAUAGAGCAAAAUCAAAGCACAAGGAAAGCACAGAGUGUGGUGGAAGGGUCAGAGUGUCAGCUGAACUGCAACGUGAAAGCCUCUGAGCGUCCCUUCAUUCAGUGGCUCUUUCCAGAUGGGACUAAACUGCAGGCACCGUUUAAUCAGAAGGACAGUAGAUUUUCCAUUCUCAGUAGUGGUCAACUAGUAAUCAAACCAGUGAGUUACACUGAUGCUGGCUUGUAUCACUGUAUUGCCCAAGUGAGAGAUGAUGUGGAUGUUAUGGCUUACAGGCUUCUAGUGCAGCCUCCUGCUCUUCAGGUAGCUGACUCAGAUAUAGUGAGAGUUGAAAAAAAUGUUGGAGAUCCUAUAGUUUUGCCUUGCAAUGCAAUUGCCAGCCCAGAGGCACGAUUGAGCUGGAUUCUUCCAAACAGCCAGGUACUUAAUGUUUUGUCAAACUCUUCAAAAGGAUAUGUGUUGGACAAUGGUACUUUGCUUAUUCCAAAAAGCCACGUCAGUGACAGUGGCCAUUACAGAUGUGUGGCUGUCAAUCAGCAGGGAUCAGAUCAGUUUACUGUAAGAGUGACAGUAAAUAAAAUGGUGUCUGACAGAUCAUUUAAAAGGGUAAAACUGAAAAAACGCACACGCUCAAAAAGCUCAUCGAAAACAAGAGGGCGGGUCAUUGAUGAUGAAGAGGGAUCAGGCACAGGAGGGGGAGAUGAAUUCCCACGAAGAAAGAACCACCUGAAGGACAGAGAAAUAUCCUUUAAACAAAAAAAUGACCAGGUGCUAGAGGGUCAAAUUAAAAAGGGAAAGAAAGGCAGAAGGAAAAUGAAAAUUUGGAAAGGUACUGAUAGAACCCAAGACAGCAAUGUUGCAGAAGGCCGGAGAGCAUUUGAAUCUCGAAGGAGAAUUAAUAUGGCAAGCAAACAGAUUAAUCCACAGCACUGGGCUGACAUUUUGGCAAAGGUCCGUGGGAAGAACCUUCCUAGAACAACAACAGGUACUGCCAUUUUGUUAACAACUACAUUGCCAUCAGACAUGCAGAAAACUACUCCUAUCCCUCAUCCAGUAGCCAUCCCUCUGCCUUCAGAGGCAGCAGCUGAUGUAGUAGAUUCUUCUGCUGAUACAUCACCACCGGGUGAAAAUGAGCCAUUCUCAGUCACUGUUUCCCACAGCAGUAAAGCAUUUUCAGCUUGGUCCACAACAGCAGGGCCAGAAACUGAACCUUUCUAUGACAAAAGAGCUUUAAAAACACCUGCAAGUAUACACUCUGUAGAAAUCCCUGUGUCGGGUCCUGUCUUUGCAACUGUGCAACCCCAUGGCCAGCAGCAUCAGGAUGGCAGCGCUUAUUCUUCAGUUGUAGUCAAAGAAAAUAUUCAUGCUGUCACUGAAGAACCUUUAAUCAAAGAAACAGUGACCAACUAUCCUAAUAUUCAGAGCAGUUCAUUCACAGUGGAAGGUGUGGAUGCAACUGUAUCUUCUAAGUCAGAGGAAAAUUCUGCUUUUGCUGAGCUACCACUUGAUGCUUCUGUCCUAGCUGAAUCUCAGACUGUAGAUCUUCAUAGUGUCUUGGAGACAAAUGAGAGAUUAAAUGAAGUGGAUCAAAUGAAUGCUGGUAGUAUAAUUUUGGCACCUUCUCAGCUGGAUGAUAUCAUCCCAACAGAUUCUGUGGGCUCUACUGCCAUUUCUUCAUCUGUUACAGAAAAAAGCAACGACUUGAUACAUGAACACAGAGAUGUAUCCACUAGUCAGACAAAAAAAGCAGAUUUAAGUACAGUUUCUCCAGCUGUCAUAUCCAUCAAGGUCCAGAGCAAGGAAGAAUCAGAGACCUACAGGAGUACAGUGACUCAAGAAAGCACAUCCAGCACUUACACAAAGAGUUUUCAGGGGGAAGAACAGAGAAACUUGUCUGCUCCAAAAACAGAUCCCACAUUUGUUUCACCAAGUAUGAAUGUUCCUCACAAAAAAACAGAAGAGAUAACUGCUGCUUCCAUCAGCAAAUUGACCACUACUGCCACAACACCAACACCCUAUAGGAAGACAACACCUUUGCUAGUUACUCAGCAUGCUAGGAAAAGGCCUUAUGGGAGAAGGAGACUGAGACCAAAUAGAAUCCGACAAAGAACAAAACCUUUCCACCGUAUUGUUUUAACCACAGAGGCAAUGCCUAUCAUUCCAGGAACAUCUAAAGUUGAAGCUGUGACCAAAGCUGCUUCUGCAGUUCUGGGAAGUCCUGAUCUUAAAAGCAAUGUCAAAAUACAGGCUAAGGAAGAGGAGCAUAGGGAAAGCACUCCUUCACUAGUUACCGAUCCAGUUGUAUUAGAGAAAAUGACCAAAACUGAAGAGCUGGUCACAACUUCUUUCUUUAGGCCUACUACUCCUCGACCUGAAAGAAAAUAUGUGGCACUCCCUACUUCUCCUGAAACCUUGGUACUUCCAGUGACUGAGCCCAUCACGAUUUUGUCAUCAUAUUUUAUGCAUAACACAGUUCCCACAAAAGAGUCAAGUGCACCUCUGAAACCACAGCAAAAUACAGUGCCAACAUUUGACUCAUUAGAGAACGUAUCUGAAGAGAGGAGCCUUAAAGCAGAUUCUAAAGCCCCAGAUAGUGAGGCAGAACCGUCAAGUACAGCUACCUCUGAGUAUAGGAGCAGCUUGGUAUCUACUGCAAAAUCCAGUUACCCAGAAUCUCAAGAAGAGACCAUCACUUUUCACUCAGACGUUGUGGCUAAUGAAGCCACUGCUGGAACAUUCCAGCCUAUGUAUCCUACGAUGACAGAUGUAAGUAUUCCUUCUGGCACACUGGAAGUUUUUAAAGAUGUGUCAGAUUCAGAGGGGUUAUGGAAGCCCACAGUAUUUUUAAAAACAUCAGCAAUAACGGAGCAACCCCAGCAACAAGAAAUUGUGUCUUUGUCCUCCUCCUUCAGCACAACAGAAACUCAAACUUUUCCACCUACAGAAACAGAAAUAUCUGUUGUGUCUCAAACUGGGGCAAAAACAUCUUCCUUGGAUAAGAAGGAAACAAUGUCAAAUGUAUUUCAUCAUGAUCCCACUUUGCAGACAGCUGAAAAGCCUCAGACUAUACACAGUGUCUUUAUUCCGUUUACAAAACCUCCUACUCUUCCUCCCCCCAUUUCAAGCACUUUACAUCCUUCUCUUCAUUAUACUAGCAAAGGCAGUAACACCUUCAAUCAGGAAAGGUUGCCAGCAGUAAAACAAGCUGAAGCAGAAAGUGAAAGAAUGGUGGUGAGCUCAAGACAGAAUGUACACCCUACUCCCUUCUCUAGCCAAAACAGGAUUAGCAUACAGUCUAAAGAGGAACAGUUCAAAGAGAUGUACAGUAGCAGGUCAAACAACAGUUUAUUGCUAAAUCCAAACCUUCCCCAUCCACCCGCUGGAAUGAUACCAAGCCUGAAUCAAAGACUGCCUGUUGUGCCUCCAAAGCAUGUUCCAGUAAGAGGCACAGUGAAGCCUCCAUAUGUUGUAACACAAGGCUCAUUUCGUUAUUUUAUAACACAUCAGCCUCUUCACUACACAAACAAACCAGAGAUAACAGCAUAUGCAGCACACACCAUCCAGGACAAAAAAUCUUUUGCCUCUCAGAGGGAGACAACUACCCCAACGCAAGCUACUCCAUUUCACAGAACAAAUACAUUCCCUUCAAGCAAGUUUAGUAAUCAGGGUCAGAAUAGAUACAAUAUUAAUUCAAGAUUUUUUGGUAGUAACUAUGUUCCAGAUAACAGAGGCACAGCAGGGAGACUACCAAGUCAAGAAAUGCCCUAUUAUCCCAGUUCCAGAAUGCCAUUCCUGUUCAACAGGACAAGGAUUUUGCCUCACUUAGGUAUACAUCCUAAACCUAUGGUCCCUGGUCAACUAGUCCCAAAAGACACAAAUGAGAAGAAGGUUGCUCAGGUCUCACCUCCCAGGAUUACAGUGCAGAAAGCUACAGCUGUUCCAAUGCCUUCACACACCACAACCACCACAUCACCACCAGCAGUGAUUUUGAAGAUAACCCCUCCAGCCUUUUUCUCUCAGAGCAGAAAACCCCAGAUAUCCACUACAGUUCAGCCUCUUAAAAAUGUUCACUAUCAUCAAAAAGUUCCAUCUGUGCCUUAUGUGGGAGGCAUUACAUCACACAAUUUAUCUGUAAUUCAAUCUUCAAGCAAUUUCAGGACAACUGGAGAAAGACCUAGAAUUAUAACAAAAGGAUCUCAGAGCAUAUCCAUCCUUGCUGAAACAGAUGCUCUUAUCCCUUGUGAUGCAGUAGGGGAACCCAAGCCUUUUAUUACUUGGACAAAAGUCUCUACAGGAGCUCUGAUGACAGCCAACACCAGGUUACAACGGUUUGAAGUCUUGAAAAAUGGUACCUUCCUUAUCCGAAAUGCUCAGCUUCAGGAUCGUGGACAGUAUUUGUGCACUGCUCAGAACCUGCAUGGUGUAGAUAAAAUGAUUUUUGUGCUCACAGUUGUAGCCCAUCAGCCCAAAAUUUUACUUUCCCGCUAUCAAGAUGUUACUGUCUAUUUUGGAGAUACCAUAGCAAUGGAAUGUCAGGCUAGUGGGACUCCAACCCCACAUAUUUCAUGGAUUUUCCCAGACAGGAAGAUUUUGCAGACAGUCACCACCACAGAAAGCAGGAUAAUGCUUCAUGAAAAUCGAACCUUAUCUAUCAAGCAAGCAACAUUUUCAGACCGAGGAGUGUACAAAUGUGUAGCUAGCAAUGCUGCAGGAGCCGACAGCAUCGCAGUGAGGCUCCACAUUGCAGCCUUACCGCCCAUCAUUCAGCAGGAUAAGCAAGAGAACAUUUCCUUGCCCCUUGGUAGCAGUGUUAAUAUCCACUGCACUGCCAAAGCAGCCCCUUCACCCAGUAUUCGUUGGGUGCUCUUUGAUGGCACACAAAUUCGACCUUCCCAGUUUGUCAAUGGGAAUUUAUUUGUUUUUCCCAAUGGAACUCUUUAUAUUCGCAAUGUCUCCCCCAAGGACAGUGGGAUCUACGAGUGCAUUGCCGCCAACAUGGUGGGAGCUGCCAGGAGAAUAAUACAACUUCAUGUGAAGAAACAAGCAUCAAAUGCUAAGAUCACUGGGAGCUCUCCUCAGAGGACAGAUGUAACUUAUGGCAGCAUCCUGCAUUUGGACUGUAGUGCUUCUGGUGACCCCUGGCCUCGGAUAUUAUGGAGGUUACCUUCCAAAAGGAUGAUUGAUUCCCUACACAGUAACUUGGAGACUAGAAUCAAAGUAUUCAGCAAUGGGACUUUGGUUGUCCAUUCAGUUACAGAUAAAGAUGCGGGAGAUUAUUUGUGUGUGGCUCGCAAUAAGAUUGGGGAUGACUAUGUGGUCCUCAAAGUGAAUGUGAUGAUGAAACCAGCAAAAAUAGAACACAAGAAUGAGAAUAACCACAAGGUCAAGUAUGGAGGUGAUCUGAAAGUUGACUGCGUAGCUACUGGUCUACCAAAUCCUGAGAUCUCCUGGGGUCUGCCAGAUGGUAGCAUGAUCAAUACCUUCAUGCAGUCAGAUGACAGUGGCAGCCGGACAAAGCGAUAUGUGGUCUUCAAUAAUGGAACCCUGUAUUUCAAUGACGUUGGACUGAGGGAGGAGGGGGACUACACCUGCUAUGCUGAGAACCAGAUUGGGAAGGAUGAGAUGAAAGUACGGGUCAAAGUAGUGGCUGAACCUGCAACUAUCCGAAACAAAACCUAUGUCAUUAUUAAUGUACCCUAUGGUGAUGUUGUCACAGUAGCAUGUGAAGCCAAAGGCGAACCUACUCCCAAAGUAACUUGGCUUUCCCCAACCAACAGGCCCAUUCCUACUCUAUCUGAAAAAUACCAGGUAUAUAGGGAUGGUACUCUCCUCAUCCAAAAGGCACAAAGAUCUGACAGUGGUAACUAUACUUGCGUAGUGCGGAACAGUGCUGGAGAAGAUCGGAAAGUGGUAUGGAUCCAUGUCAAUGUUCAACCUCCCAGAAUCAAUGGGCAUCUCAAUGCAAUAACAUCUGUAAGGGAGACAGCCAUCAGGGACAGCAGGAAGCUUAUUGACUGCAAAGCUGAAGGCAUUCCAGCUCCACGCGUCCUGUGGGCUUUUCCAGAAGGAGUAAUUCUGCCAGCCCCCUACUAUGGAAACAGAAUCACUGUGCAUCGCAACGGUACUUUGGACAUCAGAGGGGUGAGGCAGACAGAUGCAGUGCAGCUUGUAUGCAUUGGACGGAACGAAGGAGGAGAAGCAAGACUGAUUGUGCAGCUCCUCAUCACAGACCAUUUGGAGAAACCUUCCUUCAGGGACCCUGUCAAUGAAAGAAUCACUGCAAUUGCUGGGCACAGCAUCAAUCUGAACUGCUCAGUCCAGGGGUACCCUGAGCCCACCACAAGCUGGAUCCUUCCCAAUGGCACUGAAGUGCUGAGUGGCAGCCGUCUGCACAGAUUUUACCAUAAGCGGGAUGGAAUCUUACACAUCAGUGCUCUCUCCACAGGGGAUGCUGGGACCUACCGCUGUACAGCCAGAAACCCAGGUGGCUAUGUGGAACGGGUAGUCUUCCUGAAGGUGGGACUCAGGCCAGAAAUCAGCAACCAGUAUAACAACCUGACUACACAGGAGCCAUGCAUUCAAGGCCAGUGGAGCUUGUUCGUUUACCAUUUUUGAGAGGUGAUGGGACAUUGAGUGGUUGCUCUUGAUUUGAGAAGAUUUCACCGUUUUUACUUGAUUAACCAAAUGGAGCUGAAUGGUAACUACUGAAAUGUCUAUGAGCAAAAAAAGAAAUUACAAAGUAAUCUGGAAUGAAUUCUGAGAGCAGAAGCACCGCUAAGGUAAGCUUAACAUUUCACUACUGUUGGAAGCUUACCUUAGCAUUUCAUCAGACUUUGCUCUGUGAGUAACUGAAAAAAAAAGUCUCUCACAAUAUGAGAUUUUUGUAUUAUAUCAAGGCUGUUUGACAUACAUGCUUUUAUAUAGUCUUGUGAAUGCUUUCAUGCAGCAUGUGUAGGUAUAUAUAUAUAUAUAUAUAUAUAACCAUAGGUAGUGAUCCUGAGCAGAAGACCACUCUAUGUGCAGAAGUUGGUGGUCCACAUCUCAGUUAAGCUAAGGAGGAUCAGGCAUCCCAUUCUGUGCCGUGCUGCACCAUGUUGCAUGUACAGUAUGCCUUUCUGGCCUGUGUUGCACUGUGCACAUUCCUUGGCCACAACCAAUUUACUAAAACAGAGGAGCUCACAAGCAGCUCCCACUUGGUUCUGGUGAUAGUCUACUACUGGCACAGUCUCACCUUUAUCUAACAGUGCCUUAAGCGGUUCAAGUAUUAACAUCCUUUCAUUUAACUGUAAAAAUGAUUAAUAGAGUUCUUUUAUUCUAAAAAAUAACUAGAAUGGCUGAAAUGGGGUAACCCUUGCUGGGACAGAACCUACACAGCAUGCUGCACCCUAAUUAGAGGCAAAUUCAGCACUGAACAACUGAGGGUUUCCAGCAUCAGAAGGCAGAUAAGGUUACCUAUCUUAAAAGGUUACCAUCUUUUUAUAGUGUUAGUUUUAGUACAUGCCAUUUUAAGCAAUACUUGGCAGAGUGCCUGCUUCACUGGGAUGAUUAUGAUCCAGUACCUCUCAGUGCAAAGCACCAUUUGCUCAAUCCUCUUGAUAGCAUGAAAGCUGUACCGUCUAAUGAUCAUUCUAGUGAAGAAAUGUAAUAAUUACAAAAGCCAAACUUGGUAAGAAAGAUAUUAUUCAGACAAGUUAUCUUUCACAAAAGUUCUCUUUGUUUUCCACAAAAUAUGGCUUAAUUUCAGAUUUUCUGGACUAUAAACAAGGAACUCCUUGAGCUGAAUUUGUAGCAGCUUUCAAAGGCCAGAAGAAUUCAUGCAGGUUUUUCCUUGUGUUGUGGGUGACUUGAUUUGCCCUCAAUUAGACUGCAUCCCAAUCUCUCUCAAACUUGCACAAAAAAUUAGUUGAUCUAUACCUUAGUCAUCUCGACACAUUGAACACACAAUUGCGUUUAAUAGCAAUGAAGCUAACAAUAAUGAGAAAAGUAAGUGUGUCAAAAAAAAUUCCUUUUCCCCUCAUUAGUAAGUGUUUUGAGUACCCUGGGAAGCCCUGUAAGACACACACUUACAACAAAGUUCUCCCUGGCUCUGUGACCUCAUGCUGUGUGUCAUGCUGCUCCAUCAAUCAUUGUGUUUUGACUCAUACAAAUUGUCUGUUCUUAUGUUGUGAGAGAGGGUUAAAGGUUUGCAAAGAGUUAAAUCGAGAGGAGACAUGAGGUGAGACUCUGAAUAUGUGUCAUGAGAUUAUCUGCAAUAAAAGAUUUUGGGGACAAACAAA
Numida meleagris (helmeted guineafowl) is the source of this 10254-nucleotide RNA transcript. It is a transcript of the gene named matrix remodeling associated 5, with no coding region annotated. The transcript has 9 exons. The record is from RefSeq and is a predicted model, not a curated record. Lineage: Eukaryota; Metazoa; Chordata; Aves; Galliformes; Numididae.